UACAGAGGGGGCAAGCGUUGUUCGGAAUUACUGGGCGUAAAGGGCGCGUAGGCGGCCUGUUAAGUCGAACGUGAAAUCCCCGGGCUCAACCCGGGAACUGCGUCCGAUACUGGCAGGCUUGAAUCCGGGAGAGGGAUGCGGAAUUCCAGGUGUAGCGGUGAAAUGCGUAGAUAUCUGGAGGAACACCGGUGGCGAAGGCGGCAUCCUGGACCGGCAUUGACGCUGAGGCGCGAAAGGUAGGGGAGCAAACAGG
This 253-nucleotide ribosomal RNA is filed under the name uncultured bacterium. RNAcentral's name for it is "partial 16S ribosomal RNA". It matches the Rfam family "Bacterial small subunit ribosomal RNA", at positions 524 to 776 of the family's 1533-position model. The record is from RNAcentral.